This 353-nucleotide long non-coding RNA is filed under the name Sorghum bicolor (sorghum). RNAcentral describes it as "long non-coding RNA (SBIC_LNC003498)". Lineage: Eukaryota; Viridiplantae; Streptophyta; Magnoliopsida; Poales; Poaceae. The record is from RNAcentral.
GAGUCCUAUAGUUGUGUACUCUACCAAAAUGAUGUUGAAGAGACACGGGAUCACCUCUUUCUCAAUUGUCCCUUUGCAAUUGCCUGCUGGGGACUUCUAUGUGUUGAUUUCACCGCACCAAGAUAAUAAUUCCCAGUGGUUCAGACUGUAAAAGACCAAACACACAUGACCUUCUUCAUGAUGGCAAUCAUUACCAUGUGUUGGGUAAUCUGGGGCGCAAGAAAUGUGAUUUGAUUUUUAAAGGAACACAAUAAUCAAGCCUCAUGGACUGCAAGAGAACUUUUGCAAAGGAGAUAGGUCUGGUUUCUCUCAGAAUCAAGUCCAGUUUAUCAACAGCUUUGAUACAUGGCGCC